ACUGGGUGUGGUGGCGCAUGCCUGUAAUCCCAGCUACUCAGGAGGUUGAGGUGGGAGAAUUGCUUGAACCCGGGAGGCAGAGGCUGCAGUGAGCUGAGAUUGUGUCACUGCACUCCAGCCUGGGUGACAGAGCGAGACUCCAUCUCUA
Molecule: signal recognition particle RNA, 148 nt
Filed under: Chlorocebus sabaeus (green monkey)
Lineage: Eukaryota; Metazoa; Chordata; Mammalia; Primates; Cercopithecidae
Description: Metazoan signal recognition particle RNA
Rfam family: Metazoan signal recognition particle RNA
About the family: The signal recognition particle (SRP) is a universally conserved ribonucleoprotein. It is involved in the co-translational targeting of proteins to membranes.
Source: Rfam by way of RNAcentral